UAUAGAUAUGUAUGAAUAUAUAUUUAUAUAUAUGUAUGAAUAUAUAUUUAUAUAUAUGUAUGUAUGUAUAUUUAUAUAUAUGUAUGUAUUACAUAUGUAUAUAUGCAUUAUAUAUAUAUGUAUGUGUGUAUAUUACACACACUCACAUACACAUAUAUUAUUACCCAUAAUUUUAAAAAGAAACACAGAUUUAUAAUAGAAGUGAAAAAUAAAACAACGUAAGAGAAAAUUCUUCAAAUGGUUUCACUUUGGUCAGCUGAGAUGGAAAAUGGCACAUAAUGCUCCACCGUCCCAUUUCAAGAGAAAUUACAGCCAAAGAGGAACAAAGUGAUUUUUUUCAACUAGGAAUCAAAGAUGUUGAGUAGUUGAUUCCGAAGCUUAUCAAGAACCAAACACUUGCUAAAUACUGCCUGACAUGCAAUGUGACACAUGACAGGGGCAGCAGAGAGAAAAAAACAUAUUUAAAAAAAAAAAAAAAAAAAAAAAAAUUGCUUCAGUUUUGAUUUUCAUUAAAUAUUAAAAAAGAAAAGAAACUGAAAGAUAAACAGGUUAAUGUAUUUUGUAGAAUUUAAUUCUCUUCUGCUUCUGUCAUUCAUAAAUGGCAAUUCAAAGACAAUUGUGACCAAGUUGUCUUUAAAUCUAAACAUAAAAUAAAUCAUAUAUGGCUUAUACAUACAUACAUAUAUACACAUAUAUUCAUA
RNAcentral lists this long non-coding RNA (701 nucleotides) under Octopus vulgaris (common octopus). The record is from RNAcentral. Lineage: Eukaryota; Metazoa; Mollusca; Cephalopoda; Octopoda; Octopodidae.